This 315-nucleotide signal recognition particle RNA is filed under the name Nitrososphaerota archaeon. Its description in RNAcentral is "signal recognition particle sRNA". It matches the Rfam family "Archaeal signal recognition particle RNA". The record is from RNAcentral. Lineage: Archaea; Thermoproteati; Nitrososphaerota.
GCGAUGGGUAGGACCGGGAGGUCAGCCGUCUUCCGCACCCGAAACCGGCUACAUGCGGGGGUCAGCAACCUUCGGGUCGACCGUGCCAGCGGCCCGCGGUGACCGGGCACCGGAAGCUGACCCCGCGCCCCAACGGGUCAUCACACGGGGGACGACCCUCCGAAGGGAGGGUAUCGGCCUCCUAACCGUCGAACUGUGUCAGGUCCGGGAGGGAGCAGCACUAAGGCGGUGUGAGGACGCUGUUGGGCCAACGUGGGCGAUUCGCGGACCCGGCGUCACGUUCCGUGCACACGGGGAGCCCGGAGGAGCCAUCGC